CACCUUCCAAAGUUAUCCCAACUAUGUUUUGAUACAUUUUAAAGCAUCCUCAAUUUGAAAUCUCAAAGCAUGUAAAUGAAAGCGUCUUGAACUUCUUCCUCUGUGACAUGCAACCUGCAAAUAUAAAAACAUAAGAUUUUAAAGCCAACAGUCGUGAAUUUUCUUGCUUGAAAAUGUGAAAGAUCAAUUAAAAGCAUAAUCCAAUUCCUUGUACUUUACCAAUGAAGAAUGCUAAAAAAACACGUACAUAAAUGUGUAUUAUACUGCACCUAAGAGGAUUUAAGGAGAACCUAACAAAAAAGAAUGAAGAGAGUGAUUACAUAUUACACAGAAUGAGAAUCCAAGUUCAAGCGAGUGCAUUCAGGAUUUUUAUAGUGAAAAAAUUGAACACGGAGUGCAGAAUCAAGCAGUGUUUCAACAGAAUAUUCUAAAAAGCCAGAUGAAAUGAGCAAAACAAGUCGCAAAAGGCUUAAACCAGGAGAGAAUCCUAGGACAAGGCCAAGACAUCGGCAAAUGAUCCAAGAUCGUGUGAAGGAACUUAGAGAAAUUGUGCCUAAUGGGGCAAAGGUGAUACACAUCCCUUGACACUUGGAAUUCCUGUUUACCCUUUGAUAUUUUUAUUUUAUUAUUUUCCAAUUUUGUAACUGAAAAUUUUGCUCUUACUAAUGCUUUCUCACCUGUCUCCCCACUAUCAAUGCUAUAUUGCAGCAACCUCCUUCAUUAGAGAACCCACUACUUAUUCAGAGGCUAUCAAAGAUCAGAGAUGGAUUGAUGCUAUGAAGGCUGAAAUUCAGGCUUUGGAAAGCAAAUCAGACUUGGCAGAUUACUGAUCUACUCUUGGUAAAAGGCCUAUUGGCUGCAAAUGGAUUUACAAAGUUAAAUAUAAGUCCACAGGGGAAAUAGACAGGUUCAAGGCAAGGUUGGUUGCCAAAGGAUAUAGUCAGCAGGAAGGUAUUGAUUACUCAGAGACUUUCUCAUCUGUUGUCAAGAUGGUUACAGUGAGUCUAUUGUUGCUCUAGCUGCUUCUAGACAGUGGCAUAUUCACCAAAUGGAUGUCUUUAAUGCAUUCUUACAGGGUGAUUUGACGGAUGAAAUUUACAUGCACCUGCCUCAAGGUUUUGUCAAUCAAGGGGAGAAGGUGUGUAGACUAACAAAAUCUCUCUAUGGACUGAAGCAAGCCCCGAGGCAUGAACGUAAAGUGAAAAAAUAGCUCAAUUGUGAGCUUUUACAGAGAGCUUCUAGGAGCUUCUGAAUUCUUUGUAUUGCAGAAUGAAUUGUGUUACUUAGAGUACUACAAGACAUCUAUAUUUAUACACAUCAGUGAACUAACUCUAACUAACUCAGUUGGUUAUAACUAACUAUUACAAAAUGACUUUUCUGCCCUUAACGACUUAACUGAUUCCUAACUUUCACACUCUUCUUCAAAUGUUCUCUUACGGGGAAAAUAAUCUUUGUUAUGGUAUAUAGGAGUUAUAAAAUGGACCUCCUAAAGUAGAUAUGAGGUGAUCAUGUUGCAGUCUGGAUAGACCUUUGGUUAGGAUAUCUGCUGGUUGUUCUUUAGUUGAGAUGUAGUCUACUUUGAUUAGCCCCUUUUGUAGUUUCUCCCGUAUGAAAUGACAAUCAAUUUCAAUAUGCUUCGUUCUUUUGUAGAAUACUGGAUUUGCUGCAAUCUGAAUUGCAGCCUUACUGUCACUGUAUAUUUGAACUGGCAAUUGAAUCUCAACCCCCACUUCCUUCAGCAUUCCAAGUAGCCAUACUAACUCUGAUACUGUGGUGGCUAGACUUCUGUACUCAGCUUCAGCUGAACUUCUGGACACAGUGGUUUGUUUCUUGGCUAUCCACGACACUAGUGACUUACCAAUUUUAACCAUAUACCCUGUAACAGACUUUCUAGUAAUUGCACAUGAGGCCCAAUCAGCAUCACAGUAAGCAGUCACUAAGUCAUUAGAGUUACUGGCAAACACUAAUCCUUGUCCAGGUUGCCUUUUAAGAUAUCUUACCACUCUUAAGGCUGCAUCCAGAUGUGACUUCUUUGGAUGUUGUAGAAAUUGACUUAGUGUUUGAGUGUUGAAGGUUAUAUCUGGCAUGGUCAUAUUCAAAUACAGCAGUUUGCCAAUUAACUUCUGAUACAUGGUUUGAUCUACCAGUGGAUCAUCUGAGUCUUCUUGCUGUCUGUUUGUCUGCUCAUCAUACUCCUUGGAUGUUAGUUUGACAUUGAUGUCAAUAGGAGUUCCAGCAGGCUUAGCUGCUGUCAUGCCCACUUCAGAUAUAAGUUCAAGAGUGUACUUCCUUUGAUGCAUUAGUACACCUUCAGAAGACCUUGUAAACUCAAUGCCUAGAAAGUAUUUUAACUCUCCCAAAUCCUUCAUUUUAAAAGCCUGCUGUAGUGACUUCUUGGUUUCUUCAAGCUACUCCCAGUUACUAACAUAUCAUCCUCAUACUCUGCUUAAUGGACAAAUUACAUCUGGAUCUGCAAAUGGAAGUGCAACAUCAGGAAAUCCAGCUCCAGGACAAGGUAUUGACUAUAAUCAUCCUCUAUUUCUUAGUCCUACUGAUGUGAGUGGGAUCAGUAUCAUCUCGUUUCAGUUGUUAGGAAUUGAGAAUUAUACCUUGUGGAGUAGAUCAGUUAGGCUAGCUCUGCUAGGGAGGAACAAAAUUGGUCUGAUUGAUGGCACUUCUAGAAAGGAGGUAUACAGCGACGACUUAGGAGGACAUUGGGAAAGAGUGAAUGCAAUUGUGUUAUCCUGGCUCAUGAACUCAGUGUCUAAGAGUUUACUGAGUAGAAUAGCUUUUGCUACUACUGCGUUUGAUGUUUGGAAUGACUUAAAGGAAAGGUUUGACAGAGUGGAUGGGUCUAGAACCUAUAGUCUCCAUAAAGUUAUAACCUCUUUACAACAAGGAACUGCUUCUGUGUCUGUGUACUACACGAGACUGAAUCUGAUUUCAGUGUAGCAUUGAUGCACUGUUCGAACGCACGAUCAAACACAUGCUUUUCUUGCAAAGUGUCACAAAACAUGCAGACAAACUAAAACAGACUGGAGAGUCAGCCUUAUUCUCAUGAUACUGAAAAAGUUGAGUUUUCUUAUUGAUAUACUGUGUUGGGAUUCGGUACUUAAAAUUAUGGCUGGAAAUCAAGAAAAAAUAAAGCUUCCAAGUUCAAGAAAGUCAGAAAAGAAUAUGAUAACAUAAUUACGCUCUACAUAAUUUCUCAGGUUUUUAUCAACAAGGAUAGCUAGUUUAAGCUAUAAGUUUCGUUGUUAAUAAAUCAUAUAGGAGGCCUGAAUUUCAUGUGAGAAUUGGUCACCACUUCUGUCCGUUUUGAACCAGCAGAUUAUCAGUAAGGAAGGAGGAUCCUUUUGAAGGUGGAGCAACAUGGGCAUAUGAAGUAGGCUCACAGUCUAUGGUCUGCCCUAUUAUAGUUGAGGAUCUUCCACCAUGGGCAUAUGAAGUAGGCUCACGGUCUAUGGUCUGCCCUAUUAUAGUUGAGGAUCUAAAUCAACCUCGUCAAAUGCUUGUGGAGGUUAAUUUCUAUGCAUCUCAAAAAAUCAUCCUUUUGUUCACUCUCUAGCAUAUCUGACAGGACAUCUAUUACUGGAAAAAUAUGACUGAUGGUUCAUCUAAACUUUCUGUUCUCUGCAGAUGCUUUGCGAGGAACGGGGCUUAUUUUUGGAAAUAGCUGACAUUAUAAGAGGAUUGGGCUUGACUAUCCUGAUGGGGGUGAUGGAAACAAGGAAUGACAAAAUAUGGGCACAAUUUGUUGUAGAGGUAACCAAUCAAGAUUUGGAUGUAACCUGCUACUUGUACUCUCACAAUUUUUGCUUGGUUGUUUAUCAUGACUUACAAUUUGCUAUUUAAAAACAGGCGAACAGAGAUGUCACAAGGAUGGAGAUAUUCAUCUCACUCGUUCGCCUCUUGGAGCAAACAGCAAAAGGUGGAACAGAACCUGUCAAUGCUGCUGAUAACAACACAACAAUGGUGCAUUCCUUCCACCAAGCAGCGACAUUACCUGCAACUGGUAGAUCUUGUAGUUUGUUGUGAUCAACAUGUUACUACUGCUUCACCUGGUAAUGUUAAGAGAAAGCGACAAUUACAUGCUUGCCAUGACUAACAUUUACACCAAAAUGAUACUUCUGGUGGUUCUAACAAAACUCGGUAAUUUUUGUGUCCCAUGAGCCAAGGUGUAUCAAAAAUUCAGAAUCCCCUGAAGAGCAUAAGCUCUACUUUAGGCCCUCAUUCAAGGUGGAUAGAAUAUUCCAAUCCACCCCUGGUUGUAAACUUGUAAAAUAUGUAGCAAUCAAAUGCUAUAAAAUACCUCCUGUAGGAUGCUAUGAUUGCACAAGUUAGUUGUUGUUUUGAUUCUUUCCUUAAAUGUGCUUGUUUUAUGGGGUUGGUCAUAAAAGGGUUGUUUGUUAGUUUAAUGUAUACGAAAGUUUGAGAUGAUAUUACACUAUCCAACUUCCAAGAUGGAGAGAGGAAAGUGUAGAAACUCAUAAAAAGCUAGUUGAAUUGUCAUCUGCAUUUGUAUCUACAAACAACCCAAAGAAGACUAAUUGAAUGCUUUUGAGAUGUAGAAAGCGGUUCAUCAUAGGCAGAAGGUGUUUGUCCUUCUAGAUCAAUGUCUUCACUAACAUGUAUUACCUUAGCUAUGUGAGUUAUGUCAAUUACAUCAUUUACCACUUCAGCUUUAGAGUCCCCUCCCCCAAAGUCGUUGACUCAGAGAUAUAGAUGGUGUAUUUAAUUUCUUGUACUUUACUUCUAAUGACACGUUUCUCAUCACCUAGAACACUUUAUUCUUCUUUUUCUUCAUCUUUUACUGUAUAUUUUUACAUUAGAUUUUAUAUAUAAUAAUCAACAACCUAUUCUUGAUAAAUGAUAAAUUUAGCUGUAUAAACUACAAAUUGCAAAGAAACAUUUUAUUCUAGUGAUGUCGAUGUAUCAGUGAAAGAGAUGAUCAGGUAAGAGAAGACAUGGUCAAAGUAAUUAGAAACAUUCUGCAUUUAGUAGAAGAAGAUGAGUUUAUCAAUAACAAAAAUCCUUCUGUGAAAUUGUACAAAACUAAACUUAACCUACCUAAUGAAAUCAGAAAUACAACAAAAUUUAAGUAGGCUUUCAAUAAUUAAUCCAACUUGAAAACUCACUCUUCUUCAUAGGUUCCAAUGAUAUUUUAAGAAAAGCGAUGGACAACAUCACUUUUUUAAAAACGUUUGACCAAACACUUUGACCGAAAGCGAUGAAUAAACCGAUGUUGGCAAAUGCUUAUUUAAAAAAAAAUGAUAAAUUAAAAUUAAUUAAGAACGAUGGACGGCGUCAUUAUUAAUUAAUUUAUAAUUAAUUAUUUUUAAUUAAAAGCAAUGGAUGACGAUCCUACAUAUAUUAAAUUAUUAAUAUUAUAUAUAUUUAAAACAAAAAUCCGUCAAAAAUAACGACAGACAUAGUCACUGUCCGUCACUUUUAAUUAAAAAGUUUUAAGAAAAUAAAAAUGACAGCCAGCGUCGCAAAUGGCAUCGCUCCAAAAGCGACGAUUAUUGGCUCCGUCAUUUUUUCCCUUGUUUUUAAUAGUGAUCUAGCUCAUUUUUCAAGUUAUUUUGUUUAUGUGCAACUUUGGGGGCCUCUUAAUUAAAGAUAUGUAUGAUAAUCAUCCCUGCUAUUUUGACUAUGAGAAAGACAAUUUUCUACCAUUUUUGAAAAUCCUCAAUUCUGUUCAGAUCUUGGGGCAUUAUAUGUGAUGAGUUUAGAAAAUUACUAUGCCGUUAUUCACGUGCCAGAAAUGAAAAAUAAAGAAAAUUUGUGGCUACUCAGCUAAGUUACCACACAUUAUAUAUAAAGAAAAUUUGUUAUUACCAAGUCGGAUGAAAGCUACCUUAUUUUAACUCAGUUUUCUGGUAUGGCUGGAUACCACAAAAACCUCCAUUGCCAUCAGUUAUUGGCUUCUGAAAGAGCAAUUAACAACACUAGAUAGUUAUCUAAAAACAAAUCAACUUGACUUCCAUACAAAUCUAAGCUCUACAAAUAUUUCUGUUAGUUAUCUGAUUCAUGAAGGAUAACAUUACUAACCUAAAAAGCCAUAGCAGAAAUUAUUGCAACAAAUAUCUCAACCCUAUGUACCACUAA
RNAcentral lists this long non-coding RNA (6111 nucleotides) under Solanum tuberosum (potato). RNAcentral describes it as "long non-coding RNA (STUB_LNC005453)". The record is from RNAcentral. Lineage: Eukaryota; Viridiplantae; Streptophyta; Magnoliopsida; Solanales; Solanaceae.